GACGAACGCUGGCGGCGUGCUUAACACAUGCAAGUCGAACGGAAAGGCCCUGCUUUUGUGUGGUGCUCGAGUGGCGAUCGGGUGAGUAACACGUGAGUAACCUGCCCUUGACUUUGGGAUAACUUCAGGAAACUGGGGCUAAUACCGGAUAGGAGCUCCUGCUGCAUGGUGGGGGUUGGAAAGUUUCGGCGGUUGGGGAUGGACUCGCGGCUUAUCAGCUUGUUGGUGGGGUAGUGGCUUACCAAGGCUUUGACGGGUAGCCGGCCUGAGAGGGUGACCGGCCAGAUUGGGACUGAGAUACGGACCAGACUCCUACGGGAGGCAGCAGUGGGGAAUAUUGCACAAUGGGCGGAAGCCUGAUGCAGCAACGCCGCGUGCGGGAUGACGGCCUGCGGGUUGUAAACCGCUUUCGCCUGUGACGAAGCGUGAGUGACGGUAAUGGGUAAAGAAGCAACGGCUAACUACGUG
RNAcentral lists this ribosomal RNA (468 nucleotides) under uncultured bacterium. RNAcentral's name for it is "partial 16S ribosomal RNA". It matches the Rfam family "Bacterial small subunit ribosomal RNA", at positions 28 to 507 of the family's 1533-position model. The record is from RNAcentral.